AUAACCUUAGUCGUUCAGUAAUACAAGCUCCUGAAUUUCAAUCUGUUUGUUGUUUCGUAAUACUGCAAAUUAGAAGCUUUAGACUAGGCUAAUUCUUCAUAACUGAGGCAAAAACUAGCGGCAAAACACAAAAAGAAUCAUCACAGACCCUUUUUAGUAGGAAUUAGAGAUAAACUUCACCUCUUAUUGCCAAAUGCUUGAGCAUGACUUUUGGCAAGAAUAACCAUCAGAGCACCAAUUCCAGCAGCCAUCCCAGCUCCAAAGCAGAAAGAAGGCAUGUGAACAAAUGAUCUUCCUUUGUUUUGCAUGAGUUCCCAAUGCAGUUGAACAUCAUCUGCGUGCCAUAAGCUCAUGUGUACAGCCAGUGUCAUUUUCAGAUCAGAA
RNAcentral lists this unclassified non-coding RNA (384 nucleotides) under Hevea brasiliensis (rubber tree). The record is from RNAcentral. Lineage: Eukaryota; Viridiplantae; Streptophyta; Magnoliopsida; Malpighiales; Euphorbiaceae.